UUUCAUGGCGGCUUUGCGUGGGGCACUUUCGAGUGCGCCGGGUCUGUGUUCUCUACCGGUCUGCUAACCCGCGUCAAAGUCGCCACCCUU
Non-coding RNA from Pseudomonas syringae pv. pisi str. 1704B, 90 nucleotides. NCBI's taxonomy places the organism in Bacteria, Pseudomonadati, Pseudomonadota, Gammaproteobacteria, Pseudomonadales, Pseudomonadaceae. The record is from Rfam.